Molecule: long non-coding RNA, 347 nt
Filed under: Elaeis guineensis (African oil palm)
Lineage: Eukaryota; Viridiplantae; Streptophyta; Magnoliopsida; Arecales; Arecaceae
Description: long non-coding RNA (EGUI_LNC050084)
Source: RNAcentral
GGCCGCCCAUAGUCAAUAGGAAUUUAUUGCGAAGGGUAGUGGAGCGGAAUCGUGGCUAUCGCCGUAGCUCGCCACGUGGAAUCAGUUGCGAGGAGUGGAGCGGCAUCUACUGUCGUGACUCAUCUGGGGGUGGUGGAAUUAUACAGGAUCCACCGCAGGGAGUGGAGCAGAAUCAUGGCUGUUAAUAUAGCCUAUCAGGGAGUGAUGAGGUCGCGUAGGGUCCGUCGCAGGAAGUGGAGCAGAGUCAUGGCCAUUAUUGUGGCCCGCCAGUGGGUCCAGAAUUGUCGGUCGGAGCUUGGUUGGGGUUGGUAGCGAGGUUCGGCACCCGUAGAAGUUCGGAUGAAGUC